RNAcentral lists this RNase P RNA (438 nucleotides) under Gammaproteobacteria bacterium. RNAcentral's name for it is "RNase P RNA component class A". It matches the Rfam family "Bacterial RNase P class A". Rfam says of the family: Ribonuclease P (RNase P) is a ubiquitous endoribonuclease, found in archaea, bacteria and eukarya as well as chloroplasts and mitochondria. Its best characterised activity is the generation of mature 5'-ends of tRNAs by cleaving the 5'-leader elements of precursor-tRNAs. The record is from RNAcentral. Lineage: Bacteria; Pseudomonadati; Pseudomonadota; Gammaproteobacteria.
AGAGUCAGCCGGAUAGCCGCUGCCUCGCAACUGUCCUUGGCGCGACCAAGCAUAGGGGCGGGGAAGAGGAAAGUCCGGGCUCCAUAGGGCAAGGCGCCAGGUAACGCCUGGGCGACGUGAGUCGACGGAAAGUGCCACAGAAAAGAUACCGCCCUGGAGAAUGGGGUCAGAGUCGAUUUUACUGGUGGACAAGGCGUUACCGUUGAAAUCGACUCCAACCCCAUUUUUCAGUGGUAAGGGUGAAAUGGUGCGGUAAGAGCGCACCGCGCUUGUGGUAACACGAGCGGCAGGGUAAACCCCGCCGGGAGCAAGACCAAAUAGGGACCCAUUGGUACGGCCCGUACCGGGUCCGGGUAGGUCGCUGGAGGCGUGCGGUGACGUGCGUCCUAGAUGAAUGGCUGUCUAUUACAGAACCCGGCUUACAGGCUGACUCCCACC